Molecule: ribosomal RNA, 253 nt
Filed under: uncultured bacterium
Lineage: Bacteria
Description: partial 16S ribosomal RNA
Rfam family: Bacterial small subunit ribosomal RNA
Source: RNAcentral
UACGUAGGGUGCGAGCGUUGUCCGGAAUUAUUGGGCGUAAAGAGCUCGUAGGCUGUCUGUUGCGUCGGCUGUGAAAACCCGGGGCUCAACUCCGGGCCUGCAGCCGAUACGGGCAGACUAGAGUUCGGCAGGGGAGACUGGAAUUCCUGGUGUAGCGGUGAAAUGCGCAGAUAUCAGGAGGAACACCGGUGGCGAAGGCGGGACUCUGGGCCGAUACUGACGCUGAGGAGCGAAAGCGUGGGGAGCAAACAGG